This 386-nucleotide long non-coding RNA is filed under the name Capsella rubella. RNAcentral describes it as "long non-coding RNA (CRUB_LNC001336)". The record is from RNAcentral. Lineage: Eukaryota; Viridiplantae; Streptophyta; Magnoliopsida; Brassicales; Brassicaceae.
AAUAACACAAGGUUCACUUUUUUUUGUUUAGUCAAUAAUAAAAUUUGGUGGUGAAUUUAGAAAAUACAUUAUUACGUAUGAAAAUUCGUGAAAAAGGCUUUAUUUUGUUUUUACUUUUUUUUUUUAAAGCAAGAUUAUUUAGUUUCCACCGAAGAAGAAAGAGUUAAAACCAAAAAGGUAGGUUCAAGUGGGAUUCACACACAUUACAAGAUUCAAUGGAUUUUAUCAAAGAUUAUAUGAAUAUCCGAAACAGAGAAGCAGAAGCAGAAGCAGUAGCAAUUAUUUUGUUGUAAGUAGACAAGUACACGUGGUUAAGAAUGAUUGGAAGCUAUAAUAUUAUGUAAAAAUUGACAGAUCCUUAAAAGAGCUAAAGCCAUCAAAGAUUC